AGAGACAGCAGUAGCCGCGGGAAUACAGAGGGUGCGAGCGUUAAUCGGAUUUACUGGGCGUAAAGCGUGCGUAGGCGGCUUCUUAAGUCGGAUGUGAAAUCCCUGAGCUUAACUUAGGAAUUGCAUUCGAUACUGGGAAGCUAGAGUAUGGGAGAGGAUGGUAGAAUUCCAGGUGUAGCGGUGAAAUGCGUAGAGAUCUGGAGGAAUACCGAUGGCGAAGGCAGCCAUCUGGCCUAAUACUGACGCUGAGGUACGAAAGCAUGGGGAGCAAACAGGAUUAGAGACCCCCGUAGUCCCUGUCUCUUAUAC
Molecule: ribosomal RNA, 309 nt
Filed under: uncultured bacterium
Lineage: Bacteria
Description: partial 16S ribosomal RNA
Rfam family: Bacterial small subunit ribosomal RNA
Source: RNAcentral